RNAcentral lists this transfer RNA (69 nucleotides) under Camelus bactrianus (Bactrian camel). It matches the Rfam family "tRNA". Rfam says of the family: Transfer RNA (tRNA) molecules are approximately 80 nucleotides in length. Lineage: Eukaryota; Metazoa; Chordata; Mammalia; Artiodactyla; Camelidae. RNAcentral also lists the same sequence under 2 other names. The record is from Rfam by way of RNAcentral.
GGGUAUAGCUAGUGGUGGAGCACAUGCUUAGCAUGCAUGAGGUUCUGGGUUCAAUCCCCAGUAACUCCA